This 1044-nucleotide long non-coding RNA is filed under the name Parus major (Great Tit). Its description in RNAcentral is "lncRNA (ENSPMJG00000014597.1)". The record is from RNAcentral. Lineage: Eukaryota; Metazoa; Chordata; Aves; Passeriformes; Paridae.
CUUCAAUCCAUCCAUAUUCUUUACACACCCUUUCUACCCUUCUUCCUCUAGAAAUAUUAAUGGGACCUUCUGCUGCUGUUUACUCAAAAGUAUCCUCAAGUCUCCCAAACAUUAUGGGUAGGAGAAAUCUCCAGGUGACAACAUUUCAUCCUCUCCAGUUACCUUAGACGUCCUCUCCAGACAUGGUAUCUGAGAUUUCUCAAGCUCCAUUGUGAAAAACAGGUGAAUUUUUUUGCCCUUGCUAAGGCCACAGUCUAACAACUCCAAAACUGCUUCCGUAGCUAGGACUUGGCUGGCAGAAAUCUAAGUAUAUCAGUAACUCAGUUUUCCAUCCAUAGCCACAACUGCCUUUCCCCACAUGAUCUCCACUCUUCCACUGGUUCCUCAGCUAAAGUUCAUAUUUGACUCUAACCCAUGCCCACUCCUUCAUUUCAAACCUUGUUUCUUCCUAGACAUCCUGCCUCUCCCCCACUGUCUUUAUUGCUUCAGUCUUCCCCUGCCUUAUUUGCUCUUGUCCUUCUCCUGACUACCCAUCCUAUCCCCUUUCUUCCCUAUUUGCUUUUUCAGUCUUCCAAUGCAUCUUCCUCGGUCGGAGUUGGACAUCUCUGCAGUCUCUGGUGGUUCAGUCAAAUGGCUUGCAUCUUCUCUGAGUUGCCCAAGGCAGGAGCUUGCUCUCCUUUGCUACUACCCGUUCAGAUCCGGCUUGUCUGUGUCCUGCAGCUGAGUGGAAAAGAAGAAAUUUCGAGUGGCAAAGAAAUCUGGGAUGACCGUGAUUGUGUUAUGUGCCUUUCCUGGAAAAAUCCCUUUAUGUGAUAGAUGGCCUGAAGACACUGGUACAUUUGGACUGCAGCUUUUCCAGUAACCCAGCAGGAUUUGGUGGGUGGAGGAAGGGGAAGGAACUCGGGGAGCUGUGACAAUGGGAAAAUCUUGGCAAGGACUUGCAUACACAGUCUCGCAAUCGGCCUCAAUGUCCCAACUGUUACCAGAAGGGAUGAGGAAAGCUCAGAACAGGGUGUGUGAAGGCAGCCACAAACUCGAGCCCUG